AGGAAUAUUGGUCAAUGGGCGCAGGCCUGAACCAGCCAAGUAGCGUGAAGGAUGACUGCCCUAUGGGUUGUAAACUUCUUUUAUAAAGGAAUAAAGUCGGGUAUGGAUACCCGUUUGCAUGUACUUUAUGAAUAAGGAUCGGCUAACUCCGUGCCAGCAGCCGCGGUAAUACGGAGGAUCCGAGCGUUAUCCGGAUUUAUUGGGUUUAAAGGGAGCGUAGAUGGAUGUUUAAGUCAGUUGUGAAAGUUUGCGGCUCAACCGUAAAAUUGCAGUUGAUACUGGAUAUCUUGAGUGCAGUUGAGGCAGGCGGAAUUCGUGGUGUAGCGGUGAAAUGCUUAGAUAUCACGAAGAACUCCGAUUGCGAAGGCAGCCUGCUAAGCUGCAACUGACAUUGAGGCUCGAAAGUGUGGGUAUCAAACAGGAUUAGAUACCCUGGUAGUCCACACGGUAAACGAUGAAUACUCGCUGUUUGCGAUAUACUGCAAGCGGCCAAGCGAAAGCGUUAAGUAUUCCACCUGGGGAGUACGCCGGCAACGGUGAAACUCAAAGGAAUUGACGGGGGCCCGCACAAGCGGAGGAACAUGUGGUUUAAUUCGAUGAUACGCGAGGAACCUUACCCGGGCUUAAAUUGCAGAUGAAUUACGGUGAAAGCCGUAAGCCGCAAGGCAUCUGUGAAGGUGCUGCAUGGUUGUCGUCAGCUCGUGCCGUGAGGUGUCGGCUUAAGUGCCGUAACGAGCGCAACCCUUGUUGUCAGUUACUAACAGGUUUUGCUGAGGACUCUGACAAGACUGCCAUCGUAAGAUGUGAGGAAGGUGGGGAUGACGUCAAAUCAGCACGGCCCUUACGUCCGGGGCUACACACGUGUUACAAUGGGGGGUACAGAGGGCCGCUACCACGCGAGUGGAUGCCAAUCCCCAAAACCUCUCUCAGUUCGGACUGGAGUCUGCAACCCGACUCCACGAAGCUGGAUUCGCUAGUAAUCGCGCAUCAGCCACGGCGCGGUGAAUACGUUCCCG
This 1016-nucleotide ribosomal RNA is filed under the name uncultured bacterium. RNAcentral describes it as "bacterial SSU rRNA". It matches the Rfam family "Bacterial small subunit ribosomal RNA", at positions 357 to 1376 of the family's 1533-position model. The record is from RNAcentral.